Molecule: long non-coding RNA, 705 nt
Organism: Magallana angulata
Lineage: Eukaryota; Metazoa; Mollusca; Bivalvia; Ostreida; Ostreidae
Exons: 2
Source: RefSeq, a predicted model, not a curated record
CCGGUAUUGCCAAUUUUUAACUGUCGCAUGCUGUGCAUAUUAAUGUAUGAUUUUGAAAAACAAUCAGAUUAAUCAAUGAAAUAAACAACAUCAGUUAUAGUGAUGUGUUUUACGAAUAGAUCUGUAAUGUAUUUAUUUCAAAUUGCACCUCACAAAACGAAAGUACAGCCAAUAAAUAUAGCUUAUCAUCAAGGGUUAUUCCAAACCUUUUAUAGCGGUUCACCAUGUUUUUCCUUUACAGUUAAAGCAGACAGUUGUUUGAGGUAUUGAUUUGAUAAACACUUUGUGUGGACAAAAAAUUCAGGAGAAUAAUGGAUGGUUGGAAUCCAAAGGUUAGUUUUCCAAAACCCAAACGGAUACCUUCUAUCCCACAACGGCCGCGUAUACCAGCCCCUAAACCACCAGCCCCUCCCUCUGCACCAUGCGAACAUAAGGGACCACCGGCUAAAAUGAGAGGAUUCUUUGGUUGACAACAGCAAAGUCGUAUUAAAGAUGGAAAAGAAAAUUGAUUUUAUGUGACUAUCAGGAAAAAUUACUACCUCUCUUUGUUUUAUGAUUUCUAAAUUUGAUUUAACGAUUGACUUCAAGUACUUGGACUUUAAUAAAAAAAAAAUGAUAUUACAAAAUGUAGUUGAUGCUAUAGGCUCCAAGUAAUGAAAUACAUGUACAAUAAAUAAGCUGUAGAAAUUAGAGGCUGUAUCGUUA